UACGUAGGGUGCAGGCGUUAAUCGGAAUUACUGGGCGUAAAGCGCACGCAGGCGGUUCGUCAAGUUUGGAGUGACAGUUGUCGGCUCAACCGAUAAAGGACUUCAAAAACUGGUGAACUUGAGAGCGAGAGAGGAACAUGGAACUCCAGGUGUAGUAGUGAAAUGCGUAGAUAUCUGGAAGAACACCAAUGGCGAAGGCAAUGUUCUGGCUCGUUUCUGACGCUCAGGUGCGAAAGCCAGGGGAGCGAACGGG
This 253-nucleotide ribosomal RNA is filed under the name uncultured bacterium. RNAcentral describes it as "partial 16S ribosomal RNA". It matches the Rfam family "Bacterial small subunit ribosomal RNA", at positions 524 to 776 of the family's 1533-position model. The record is from RNAcentral.